UACCAGCUCGCCGAGUGGUAGGGAUGAUUAUUGGGCUUAAAGCGUCCGUAGCCGGCCUUUCAAGUCUCUUGUUAAAUCCAACGAUUCAAUCGCUGGACUGCAGGAGAUACUGUCAGGCUAGGGGGCGGGAGAAGCCGACGGUAUUUUCGGGGUAGGGGUAAAAUCCUAUAAUCCCGGGAAGACCACAAGUGGCGUAGGCGGUCGGCUAGCACGCGCUCGACGGUGAGGGACGAAAGCUGGGGGAGCGAACCGGAUUAGAUACCCGGGUAGUCUCAGCUGUAAACGAUGCUGGCUAGGUGUUGAAGCGGCUACGAGCCGCUUCAGUGCCGCAGGGAAGCCAUUAAGCCAGCCGCCUGGGGAGUACGGCCGCAAGGCUGAAACUCAAAUGAAUUGACGG
Molecule: ribosomal RNA, 397 nt
Filed under: uncultured archaeon
Lineage: Archaea
Description: bacterial SSU rRNA
Rfam family: Archaeal small subunit ribosomal RNA
Source: RNAcentral